Molecule: ribosomal RNA, 279 nt
Filed under: uncultured bacterium
Lineage: Bacteria
Description: partial 16S ribosomal RNA
Rfam family: Bacterial small subunit ribosomal RNA
Source: RNAcentral
UGCCAGCCGCCGCGGUAAUACGUAGGGGGCAAGCGUUGUCCGGAUUUAUUGGGCGUAAAGCGCGUGUAGGCGGCUUGGCAAGUCCGCUGUGAAAACUCGAGGCUCAACCUCGAGAUGUCGGUGGAAACUGCCUGGCUAGAGUCCGGAAGAGGAGUGUGGAAUUCCUGGUGUAGCGGUGAAAUGCGCAGAUAUCAGGAAGAACACCUAUGGCGAAGGCAGCACUCUGGGACGGUACUGACGCUGAGACGCGAAAGCGUGGGGAGCGAACAGGAUUAGAUA